Long non-coding RNA from Macrobrachium nipponense, 470 nucleotides. RefSeq lists it as uncharacterized. The record is from RefSeq and is a predicted model, not a curated record. NCBI's taxonomy places the organism in Eukaryota, Metazoa, Arthropoda, Malacostraca, Decapoda, Palaemonidae. The transcript is spliced from 5 exons.
CUACCUGUGACAGUUCCAGAUCUCCCUGUACUACCUGUGACAGUUCCAGAUCUCCCUGUACUACCUUUGACAGUUCCAGAUCCCCCUGUACCUGGACCCUCUGUAGCAGCCCGUCCACCUGUACGUGUACAAUCAGACCCCUUUGAUAGUGACAGCGACCCAGAUGACCCUGAGCCUUUCCAUGGUUUUGAUGCCUCGCCCUAUUCAUCAGAUCUAGAUGUUCCCUCAUCAGUUGAUACGAGUAGUAUCACCUCUCCAGAGCCCAAAUCAGUUGAUACGAGUAGUAUCACCUCUCCCAUUCCUUCAGACUCCCAAGCACCUGCCCAUCCUACUCCAUAGCCCAGCCACCCACUCAUCUACCAUAUGCCCAUCCCAGUAAGCAAGCCAACCACUAGAAUUUGACUGGCAUGCACCUGUGACUUACAUAAACCAGACCUCUACAUAGCCUACAUGUCUUCAUUUUGCUGAAG